AGAGGACAGGCUGCCUCCACUCAAAGUACCGACUGAGUGUGACGAAUCUGGUGACAGAGACAGACCACAUCAGCAGCUGUUAGAACGGCACCACGGAAUUCCUGGUCCCGGAUCUCUGGAUUGGAAUAGGCUACUUGAAGCCCCGCUGAAGCAAGACAUUCUGUGCCGGCGACAGGAGAAACACGGAGCGGACUCCAGGCUGGACUGGACUCGGGUAUUGUUUCACCCUGGGACAGAACAUUAGACAAUCCAUGGUUUUAUUGUCUCCGGGUUUUUUUGAGGCAAUGUCAUUUUAAUAUUGUCAUUUUAAACUUUAACUUUUAAAAUAAUAUACUAUUUUUAUACAUUUCGUGUGUCUUUCUCGCUGUGUUGGUGUGGCCAGGAAUCCGAAUUUAGCUUUAUUUAAAAUUAACAAACAAACCAAUCUGUUACAGAGCUCUCUACAGCAAGGAUUAA
This is a long non-coding RNA of Perca fluviatilis (European perch), 456 nucleotides long. RefSeq lists it as uncharacterized. The transcript has 3 exons. The record is from RefSeq and is a predicted model, not a curated record. Lineage: Eukaryota; Metazoa; Chordata; Actinopteri; Perciformes; Percidae.